CCGGUCCCUUCUGCUCCUGCAGUCCAGCACCUCCCUAUCAGCGUGCCACGUUACACACACGCUGCAUCCAUAUAGAAUUCUAACAAUUUUUGUACAGAACAAAGCAUACAAUACUGCAAAUGGCCUGAAGGUGAUGGAAGAUUUUUUUUUCUAUCACCGAGGACAGAAAAACAUUCCCAAGGAACCACACGUUGAGCCAGCACGCACAGUAAGCCAGUGGCAGUACAGGACUUCUCUCUGUAGAAGACUUGACAGAGACACAGUGGGGAGGACCAUUUAAACAUUACAUCCAAUCAAAGUGUCAUUUGCAACCCAGAUGUAAAACUGUAAUGAUUUGGCCAUGAGGCGCUGCUAUUAUAAGCAGCUGGAAAUGAAUAUUAAUGGAGGAGAUUAAAAGUAUUCCAUGCUCAGUAUUUUUUAUUGUGCUGCUUCUUACUAGUGUACUAUAGAGCUUCUGCUUCUGACUGAAUUUAUAGUGUUAGAACAAUUUGUUCAAAAAUAGUUUUUUGUUGCUUCUUGUACAAUGAUAGUUCUUGUAUAUUGAUUGUUUAUUUUCAGCAUCAUUUAAAUGCUAUUUUUUAGUUGUGUGUCUUUGUUAUGUGAUGGACGCAGCUGAAAAAAAUGCUUUGAUUGGAUUUGUCAAUUCACACAGGACAGUCUAAUAAAUAUAAUUAGCAAAUGGA
Molecule: long non-coding RNA, 683 nt
Organism: Xenopus laevis (African clawed frog)
Lineage: Eukaryota; Metazoa; Chordata; Amphibia; Anura; Pipidae
Exons: 3
Source: RefSeq, a predicted model, not a curated record